GACAGAGGUGCCAAGCGUUAGGCGGAAUCACUGGGCUUAAAGCGUGUGUAGGCGGAAUGGUAAGUACCUUGUGAAAUCCCACGGCUCAACCGUGGAACUGCUUGGUAUACUGCUUUUCUUGAGCCACUUAGGGGCAACCGGAACAAACGGUGGAGCGGUGAAAUGCGUAGAUAUCGGAAGGAACGCCGGUGGCGAAAGCGGCGUGCUGGACCUCUUCUGACGCUGAGGCGCGAAAGCCAGGGGAGCAAACGGG
This 253-nucleotide ribosomal RNA is filed under the name uncultured bacterium. RNAcentral's name for it is "partial 16S ribosomal RNA". It matches the Rfam family "Bacterial small subunit ribosomal RNA", at positions 524 to 776 of the family's 1533-position model. The record is from RNAcentral.